ACGUAGGUGGCAAGCGUUGUCCGGAUUUAUUGGGUUUAAAGGGUGCGUAGGCGGCCCUGUAAGUCAGUGGAGAAAUACGGCAGCUCAACUGUCGAGGUGCCAUUGAUACUGCGGGGCUUGAGUGUUGAUGAGGUAGGCGGAAUUGACGGUGUAGCGGUGAAAUGCUUAGAUAUCGUCAAGAACACCGAUAGCGAAGGCAGCUUACCAAGCAAUAACUGA
This 219-nucleotide ribosomal RNA is filed under the name uncultured prokaryote. Its description in RNAcentral is "partial 16S ribosomal RNA". It matches the Rfam family "Bacterial small subunit ribosomal RNA", at positions 525 to 743 of the family's 1533-position model. The record is from RNAcentral.